GACGAACGCUGGCGGCGCGCUUAACACAUGCAAGUCGAACGACGAAGCCGGAGCUUGCUCCGGUGGAUUAGUGGCGAACGGGUGAGUAACACGUGAGCAAUCUGCCCUUGACUCUGGGAUAACUGCGGGAAACUGUAGCUAAUACCGGAUACGACACCUUGGGGCAUCCCAGUGUGUGGAAAGAAUUUCGGUCAAGGAUGAGCUCGCGGCCUAUCAGCUAGUUGGUGAGGUAAUGGCUCACCAAGGCGACGACGGGUAGCCGGCCUGAGAGGGUGACCGGCCACACUGGAACUGAGACACGGUCCAGACUCCUACGGGAGGCAGCAGUGGGGAAUAUUGCACAAUGGGCGAAAGCCUGAUGCAGCAACGCCGCGUGAGGGAUGAAGGCCUUCGGGUUGUAAACCUCUUUUAGCAGGAAAGAAGCGAAAGUGACGGUACCUGCAGAAAAAGCACCGGCUAACUACGUGCCAGCCGCCGCGGUAA
Molecule: ribosomal RNA, 483 nt
Filed under: uncultured bacterium
Lineage: Bacteria
Description: partial 16S ribosomal RNA
Rfam family: Bacterial small subunit ribosomal RNA
Source: RNAcentral